AGCUCUGUGGUGUAGUCCACAUUGAAUUGCAAAUUCAAAGAAGUAGCUUCAAUCCUGCCGGGGCUU
Molecule: transfer RNA, 66 nt
Filed under: Plecotus macrobullaris
Lineage: Eukaryota; Metazoa; Chordata; Mammalia; Chiroptera; Vespertilionidae
Description: tRNA-Cys
Rfam family: tRNA
About the family: Transfer RNA (tRNA) molecules are approximately 80 nucleotides in length. Their secondary structure includes four short double-helical elements and three loops (D, anti-codon, and T loops). Further hydrogen bonds mediate the characteristic L-shaped molecular structure. tRNAs have two regions of fundamental functional importance: the anti-codon, which is responsible for specific mRNA codon recognition, and the 3' end, to which the tRNAs corresponding amino acid is attached (by aminoacyl-tRNA synthetases). tRNAs cope with the degeneracy of the genetic code in two manners: having more than one tRNA (with a specific anti-codon) for a particular amino acid; and 'wobble' base-pairing, i.e. permitting non-standard base-pairing at the 3rd anti-codon position.
Source: RNAcentral